This 101-nucleotide transfer RNA is filed under the name Martinezella paranaensis. RNAcentral's name for it is "Rhizobium paranaense tRNA-OTHER". The record is from RNAcentral. Lineage: Bacteria; Pseudomonadati; Pseudomonadota; Alphaproteobacteria; Hyphomicrobiales; Rhizobiaceae.
GCAAAAUCAAAAUGGGGUAAACAAGAGGAAGCAGCGGAAAAUCAUUCACGAUUGCCUUCCGAUUCCAAAGGUCACAGGUUCGAAUCCUGUCGGGUGCGCCA